AUGUCAUCCCAGAAGACCGGCAGGCAGGGCGGCUGCAGAAGGGCCUGGGGUCCCCGCGGGGCGUCUGCCGCGGCUGCUGCUCCUGGGCCUGGGGUGAAAUACAGUGUCUGGGCCUGGAAACCCGGUCCGGACGCUGGGGGACACUUCCUGGCCCUUCCGAGACACGGUUCCUUCUCGGGAGAUGCUAAAGCGGGACUUUGCAUCCUGCAUUUCCGCUUCGGGUGGAAAACACGGCAAAACUUGCCCAGAAAGUCCGUGCCCCGGGCCGCUGACCGCCCCCGCCCCGCCCCGGCCCGGCCCGGCCCGGCCCGCAGCACCCGCGCCCCGAGGCCCCUCGAAGCGGUGAGGCCGGGACACAAAGGACAAGGAGCCGGCGCGCAGGUGGGCUCGGCGGGAGGGCAGGGCCGGGCCGCGCGGCGACCCCCGGGCCGCGGGCCCCCCGACCCGCCCCCGACCCGCCCCCGACCCGACCCGGGGCGCCCGCCCGCCCGCCGCUCACCUGGCCGCCGCCGUCCCCGCCGUCCCCGCCCGAGCCCGAGCCCGAGCCCGAGCCCGCCGCCGACCGAGGGGCGGGGCCGCGGGGGGCGGGGUCGCUCCGCGCCCACAAAGGGUCGCCAGGCGCCGGCCGCCCCGCACGCUGAUUGGCCGAGCGCGGGGGCGGGGCCUCCGGUUCAAACCGCGGGCGGGGCCUGGCGCGAGACUUCCCGCGCGGACGCGUCGGCCGUUGGGGCCCGGCGCUGGCCACACCCCCGCCCGCCCCGCCCGCUCCCAGGUCUCCGCGCGCGGCCCCGGCGCGCCUGCGCAGGAGCGGGGGGGGGAGGGGGGAGGGGAGGGGAGGGGGAAGGGAGGGAGGGGAGAGGAGGGGAGGGAAGGAGGGGGAAAGGGAGGAGAGGGGAGGACGAGGAGGGGGGGAGGGCAAGGAGGGAAGGGGAGGAGGGGGAGGGGGAAACGGAGGGGAGGGGAGGGGAGAGGUGGGGAGGGAGGAGGGGGAAAGGGAGGAGAGGAAGGGAAAAGGGGAGGGGGGAGGGAGAGAGGGGAAAGGAGGAGGAGGGGAGGGCAGGAGGGGGAGGGUAA
This 1074-nucleotide long non-coding RNA is filed under the name Canis lupus familiaris (dog). RNAcentral describes it as "lncRNA (ENSCAFG00040003337.1)". Lineage: Eukaryota; Metazoa; Chordata; Mammalia; Carnivora; Canidae. The record is from RNAcentral.